UCACUAUCGGUCCCACACUGCCUCAACACACGGGCAUGCUGACACCUAAAGCUGUGCCCACCACAGGGGCGGCUGCUGGAGGAGAGCCCAGAGCUGAGGCCAGUGACUGCCACAUGGAAAUUCAUCUCAGCACCAGACCCCCACUCUCCUGCUGUGUAAGCCCUAAUUAAACCCUUGCAGCAGAAUAAUUAAUCAUUAGUAGGGGAAUUAAAUAUUAGUCUCUACUGUAGUAAACACUGGUUAUAUAUUAACAAGCUCCCUAGCUAUCCAUUAACCUUUUAAGCCCUUUCAAAUCCUCUUUAUCAUGCUGCAGAUUUGAGUUAAAUAUCUGUCUCAAAUGACCUUAAGUGAGUGCCCUUUUACUUGCUAUUAAAGGCAUUAAAAAUUCCAGAGCCAGUUUAGUUAUUUUGUCCUUUCUGGUUGUUAUCAUCUUUUCUAUUUGGCUUUAUUUAAAUUCAGCUAUAGGGAAGGCUUAUCACACUAUUGCUAUGGAGCCAUUAUAACUUCCCAGAGACUGAGGGAAUCACUUCCUAAAAUGAUGGGUGAUAACUGAGGCAAUGAUUCUUUUUUCCCCUUGUUCUUGUGCUGCUUUGCAUCAGGCAUUGGCAGAUCCUACACCUCACACCAGAGUACGUGCCCUACAUAGAUGCAGAACAGAGACCACGGGAGAAUGAAGUUAAUGGGCAUAUAUAAGACUCAAAUCAGAUUCAGAGCCACAGUCUCAUUUUUGACCUCUGACUUCCAGCUUGUUAAGGUAAAUCCCUGGAUUUCUCUUGCACCUCUAUGGAAGCUAGGGCUAUUUCUUCUCUGCUCUCUAUUCCUUUUUACUAAAAAUGUAAGUAAGUUGCUUAAGGCCACAGUUUGUGCAGGCUGGUGUCCAGUAUCAGAUCUCCCACCUUCAGGGUUUAUAGCCCUGCCACUAGCAAGGUAUCAUAAUGGUCGUGAACCAAGUGAGAGAAGAAGGGAGCUGUGGGACGUGCUGACCAUAGCAUCUAACUCUGCAGUGCUGAGAGAUUUGUAGCCAAUGCAAGGGCAGAGCUGCUUUUAGGGGUCAGGCUGGGUCACAAGGAAAGUAUUUAUGAUGUCUAGAUAGAGGAAACAUCUGUUCUUCCCAUCUGAAAGCCAUGUUGCAAGACAGUCUUGGUGGCUUUGGCUAUGAAGUCUUGCUUUCCGUUCCUUACCUGUUUGUUAGUUAGGAAAGCAAAUGCAAGCCAAAUGAGGAUUGGAAAGACCUGUUUGCCAGGUUCCUGCUUGGGGUGGGAAAGGCAGCGGAGGUGUUGCCCUUGAUGAUGCUGCCUCCUCCCUCUGCAUCUGCAACCCAGGGCUGCAGCACAGACUCGGCCCUGGUGCAGGCAAAGAUCCGCUGUCAGCUGGAGACGUGCUUGAAACGCUGCCCGCACUGCUCUGUUCCGCAUUUGAGGGUGUCUGUUUUAGUUUGAUAAGCCUGUGGGAUGUGCAGAAUUAGGAUGAUCUCUUGGAGCAUAUUCACCCUUGUGUGGGUGACUUCAGGCUUCAGACUUCCCAUGGUAAAAUUGCUUCAUACAAUGAUUUCAUCGUCUACACGUUGCAGAAAAGAAGCCCAUGUGUUGGAUAGUCAAAAGAUCAGGCAAAUAUUUGACUCUGUGUGCAACAAAAUAUUAUGAGGUUUGAAACUACUGGGCUAUGUUUUUCAUGAUGUAUCUCACCCUAUGGCUUGCUGUUUGACCUCGGGAACCUGCAAGCUGAGCGCAGUUGCAUCACUGUCACUGGAUAACUGCUGUUCCUUGAACUGAAUACAUUAGCACAAUAAAUGUGAUUGCUGGGUA
Pezoporus flaviventris is the source of this 1805-nucleotide long non-coding RNA. RefSeq lists it as uncharacterized. The record is from RefSeq and is a predicted model, not a curated record. Lineage: Eukaryota; Metazoa; Chordata; Aves; Psittaciformes; Psittacidae. The transcript has 4 exons.